GACGAACGCUGGCGGCGUGCCUAAUACAUGCAAGUAGAACGCUGAAGAGAGGAGCUUGCUCUUCUUGGAUGAGUUGCGAACGGGUGAGUAACGCGUAGGUAACCUGCCUUGUAGCGGGGGAUAACUAUUGGAAACGAUAGCUAAUACCGCAUAACAAUGGAUGACACAUGUCAUUUAUUUGAAAGGGGCAAUUGCUCCACUACAAGAUGGGCCUGCGUUGUAUUAGCUAGUAGGUGAGGUAAUGGCUCACCUAGGCGACGAUACAUAGCCGACCUGAGAGGGUGAGCGGCCACACUGGGACUGGAACACGGCCCAGACUCCUACGGGAGGGAGCAGUAGGGAAUCUGCGGCAAUGGGGGCAACCCUGACCGAGCAACGCCGCGUGAGUGAAGAAGGUUUUCGGAUCGUAAAGCUCUGUUGUAAGUCAAGAACGGGUGUGAGAGUGGAAAGUUCACACUGUGACGGUAGCUUACCAGAAAGGGACGGCUAACUACGUG
This 497-nucleotide ribosomal RNA is filed under the name uncultured bacterium. RNAcentral's name for it is "partial 16S ribosomal RNA". It matches the Rfam family "Bacterial small subunit ribosomal RNA", at positions 28 to 507 of the family's 1533-position model. The record is from RNAcentral.